GGUGUGAUGCAACAUGCGUAGCAGCCAAUCCGUUGAGGGGGUGUGUAUGCGUGUGUGUUUGCCUGUAUGCUUUCAACAACCUGCUAUGAGGUGUAACGUGCUCCAUAGAGUUUAAUGUCACAGUGUUGGGGCAGUGAACAACAGUCAUUAAACAACUUUCAUGGCCUCAGUCUAAAUUGGUUCCAGCGCCUAAUGGAUAAGCUGCAAAGUAUUUCACCCUGUUUUCACUCUUUCUACUCUGUAGAAAAGAGCAAAUGAUCAGCCAGAUGGUCCAGUUGAAAUGUGAAACCCUGCAAUUAUCAUUCUUUCUAAUAACGCACAAGUGAAAUGGACAGUAGAAGUAUAAAGGUAAACAUUGAUUAUUGUGCUGUAGUGCUGUUGAUCAAUAUAUAAGUCAGGCAUAAAUGUGACCCGUUUCAUCAUAUCAGAUAUGGAAAACAGUGUUUGUACAUUUCUGUCAUUGCACUUUAUGCUGCCGUGUAUUAAAUUUUGACGGCUUUAAUAUGAAUUUAUCCUGCGUCGAUUAAUUUCACGUGAUCUCCUUUUCAGCGACGUGCUUUGAUAAAAAUCAUAAAUUUGUUUUCAGUGCAGCAGUUUAACAAUCUACUCUUAUGUGUAAUGCAAAGGGGGGGAUUUAAAAAAACUUAUACGUGCUUGUUUAAUGUGGCAAGCGGCCCAAGAAGUCGGAUGCAGCAGAGGACAGAUCUUUUCAACAAAACAAACACUGCGUCAGUGUUGUUUUUUUAUUAGUGGCCCGGCCCAUCAACCGGAGCAGGGAACAGCGUGCUGCCCGACGUGCUCGCCAUGUGUACCAAAUAUAAACAACAGAGUCCAUCGGUACAACAGCUGCCCUGAAAUCGACACCCAGGAUGAGCCUUCUAUGCCGAGGCGCAUUGAACUGGGCUUCGCAGAAAGUCGCUGUGACAACAUUGCUCGUCAUCUGUUCCAACCCUCACGGAUGUUGUACGAGAUGCCCUGGAUGCGGCUGCUGGGAUGGGAGGAUGGGAGCUAUCAGUGCCUCCUGGGUCCAUCCCUACAACUAACUUCCUGAAUGUUGUCUACGUGUGAAACACACCUACCUGACCCACAGCCCUCCCACCAGGCCAGGUGAGCGCACCGCUUCUAAGGGAACCGUGGGAAAGCAAUCGAACUCAUCACAGAAAGAGAAAUACCAGUGGAUCACUUCUGCUCGCGGACAUCACGUGAUGCCGAGGCAUAUCGCUCACAGCUGCACUAAUCCACUGUAAAAUCUGACCUUUUAAAAUUUUGCAUCUGAGGAUAACAAACUCAUGCAGCCACUUUAUACUGACAGAUGGCAGUGAUCAUGCCCAUAAUGUCUCCUGCACCAUUUGGCUCGGGACAUGGACUCUCGGAAAUGGAUUCUUUUGCUCUGCUUGGUUCAGUUGGCCUCCUAGUGGAACUUAUUAUACAUUACAUCCCCAAUGGGGACAAAUAUUACAAUAUAGUCGUUUACAUUGACACGUAUUUAUUUAACAGAUGCUUUUCUCCAAAACAACUCCCAAUGAGCUCUCUGUAGUGUUAUCAGCCCACACACCUUAUUCACCGCGGUGACUUACACUGCUAGAUACACUACUUACACUGGGUCACUCAUCCAUACAUCAGUGGAACACACACACUUUCUCUGUCACUCACACACUACGGGGGAACCUGAACGGCAUGUCUUUGGAAUAUAAUUAUGAAGAUCAUUCUAGAGCACAGCGAACAAAAAAUAUCAUAACAAGUUUGAAAUAUAACAAUUUGAAAAGCAUUGCAGAAUUUCAUUGUAUCACUGAAUGUUCCCUCCUCUGAUUAUCCUUCAGAUCCUUGCAGAAGUUCUGUGUGAAACCAUCAUUAAAGCUGCUUCGGCUGGAAAACAAUGAAUGAAUGAAGUCCAGCUCCUAAAUAUAUGCUGGUGUGGAAUGCUUUAGUAUUUAAUUUUAGCAGCUCUACACACAACGUCCUUCUUGGUAAAACCACAACAGCGAAGGACACAGGAAUCCAGACAGUGUCUAGACAAGAGCAGGAACCUGGGCUCUGAGGAUCGCCGUUCA
Molecule: long non-coding RNA, 2051 nt
Filed under: Scleropages formosus (Asian bonytongue)
Lineage: Eukaryota; Metazoa; Chordata; Actinopteri; Osteoglossiformes; Osteoglossidae
Description: lncRNA (ENSSFOG00015024282.1)
Source: RNAcentral